RNA transcript from Nycticebus coucang (slow loris), 1927 nucleotides. It is a transcript of the gene named serine/threonine-protein kinase PAK 2-like, with no coding region annotated. The transcript has a single exon. The record is from RefSeq and is a predicted model, not a curated record. NCBI's taxonomy places the organism in Eukaryota, Metazoa, Chordata, Mammalia, Primates, Lorisidae.
CCGCGUGCUUGCCCUGGGCGGCUCCGCAGGCCGCCGGGAGCUCGGGCUGAGGCGCCUGGCUGAGGCGGGGCUCUUUCCUCGCCUGGGGUCAUUUCAUAAUUUUGAAUCAUGUCUGAUAACGGAGAACUGGAAGACAAGCCUCCAGCACUGCCUGUGCGAAUGAGCAGUACCAUUUUCAGCACUGGAGGCAAGGAGACUUUGUCAGCCCAAGUUUGAAACCUUUGCCCUCUGUUCCAGAGGGAAAAAAGCCCAGGAAUAAAAUCAUCUCCAUAUUCUCAGGCACUGAGAAAGGAAGUAAAAAGAAACAGAAGGAACAGCCAGAAAUUUCUCCUCCAUCUGAUUUUGAGCACACUGUCCAUGUUGGUUUUGAUGCCAUUACUGAGAAUUCACUGGCAUGCCAGAACAAUGGGCUCGAUUAUUACAGACCUCCAAUAUCACCAAGCUAGAGCAAAAGAAGAAUCCUCAGGCUGUACUUGAUGUCUUAAAGUUCUAUGACUCCAACACAGUGAAGCAGAAAUAUCUGAACUUUACUCCUCCUGAGAAAGAUGGCUUCCCUUCUGGAACACCAGCACUGAAUGCCAAGGGAUCAGAAACAUCAGCAGUAGUAACAGAAGAAGAUGAAGAUGAUGAAGAGACUGCUCCUCCUGUUAUUGCCCCACGUCCAUGUUAUACAAGAUCAAUUUACACACGGUCUGUGAUUAACCCUAUUCCUGCACCAGUUGGUGAUUCUAAUGUUGAAAGUGGUGCCAAGUCUUCAGACAAACAGAAAAAGAAGACCAAGAUGACAGAUGAAGAAAUUAUGGAGAAAUUAAGAACUAUUGUGAGCAUAGGUGACCCUAAGAAAAAAUAUACAAGAUAUGAAAAAAUUGGACAGGGGGCUUCUGGUACAGUUUUCACUGCAACUGAUGUGGCAUUGGGACAGGACGUUGCUAUCAAACAGAUUAAUUUACAGAAACAGCCAAAGAAGGAAUUAAUCAUUAAUGAGAUUCUAGUGAUGAAAGAAUUAAAGAAUCCUAAAAUAGUUAACUUCUUAGACAGUUACCUGGUGGGAGAUGAAUUGUUUGUGGUAAUGGAGUACCUUGCUGGGGGUCACUUACUGACCUUGUAACAGAAACCUGUAUGGAUGAAGCACAGAUUGCUGCUGUACGCAGAGAGUGUUUACAGGCAUUGGAGUUUUUACAUGCUAAUCAAGUAAUCCACAGAGACAUCAAAAGGGACAAUGUGCUUUUGGGGAUGGAAGGAUCAGUUAAACUUACUGACUUUGGUUUCUGUGCCCAGAUCACCCCUGAGCAGAGUAAACGCCGUACCAUGGUAGAAACGCCAUACUGGAUGGCACCAGAGGUGGUUACACAGAAAGCUUAUGGCCCUAAAGUUGACAUAUGGUCUCUGGGUAUCAUGGCUAUUGAGAUGGUAGAAGACGAGCCUCCAUACCUCAGUGAAAAUCCCUUGAGGGCCUUAUACCUGAUAGCAACUAAUGGAACGCCAGAACUUCAGAAUCCAGAAAAACUUUCUCCAAUGUUUCGAGAUUUCUUAACUCGAUGUUUGGAAAUGGAUGUGGAAAAAAGGGGUUCAGCCAAAGAAUUGUUACAGCAUCCCUUCCUGAAACUGGCCAAACCAUUAUCUAGCUUAACACCACUGAUCAUGGCAGCUAAAGAAGCAAUGAAGAGUAACUGUUAACAUCAUUGGCUGUGGCCUCCUGUUCUUUUUCCAUUUUCUAAAAGAAGUCUUUUAACAUAUGAAAAUUAUUACUCUUUUGGGGGUUUAAAGAAAUGGUCUGCAUAACAUGGAGGGAAAAGCAAGCUACUAUUCUCUGAGGACAACAAAGAGAAAAUUGCAAAAAGAAAAUUCUGACUUUAGAACAGAAAAACCCCUUUAAGGUCCAAAAGGAAUUGUGGACUGAAUCACUAGCCUUAUGUAUUUCAGCAGA